This 67-nucleotide transfer RNA is filed under the name Marmota monax (woodchuck). Its description in RNAcentral is "tRNA.Ala". It matches the Rfam family "tRNA". From Rfam's summary of the family: Transfer RNA (tRNA) molecules are approximately 80 nucleotides in length. Their secondary structure includes four short double-helical elements and three loops (D, anti-codon, and T loops). The record is from RNAcentral. Lineage: Eukaryota; Metazoa; Chordata; Mammalia; Rodentia; Sciuridae.
GGUUGUGACUCAGUGGUAGAGCGCUUGCCUAGCAUGCAUGAGGCACUGGGUUCGAUCCCUGGCACCA